AUGUGUUUCAGUGAGACGUGGCUGCAGGACCAUAUCCCCGAUUCCAGCGUCUCUCUGCCAGGAUUCCUGACUGUACGAGCAGACAGAGAUCUGAAGAGGAGCGGGAAAAGAAAAGGAGGUGGAGAGGCAGUGCUUGUCAACAACAGAUGGUGCCAUCCAAGUCAUGUUUCAGUGAAAUGUAAUCUCUGCAGCCCAGAUGUUGAACUCUUGGCAGUAAAUUGUCGCCCAUAUUAUUUGCCAAGAGAGUUGACCAGUGUUGUCUUGGCAACCGUUUAUAUUCCGCCUUCAGCCAUUGCUGAAAAUGCAUGUGAUGCCAUCAGUUCUGUUGUCGCUAAGCUACAAACCCAGCACCCCAAUGCAUUUGUGGCUAUAUCUGGUGAUUUUAAUCAUGCCUCGCUCUCUGCUACACUUCCAACAUUUCAACAGUAUGUCAGCUGCUCCACCAGAGAAAACAAGACAUUGGAUUUGUGUUAUGCAAAUGUAAAGAAUGCAUACAUGUCCAAAACAAGACCUCCUCUGGGACAAUCAGAUCACAAUCUUGUUUUUCUCUGCUCAGAACACAAAACACUUGUUCAGAGGCAACCUGUGACAAGAAGAACUGUGAGAAAAUGGUCACAGGACGCUGAAGAAGCCCUGCAGAGUUGUUUUGAGACCACAGAUUGGAUGACUGUCUGCCAAGGAUAUGAAGAGGACAUCAAUGCCAUGACUGGAUUUGUCACUGACUAUAUAAACUUCUGUGUGGUCUAUAUCAUACCCACCAGAACAGUGAGAUGCUUCGCUAAUAACAAACCCUGGAUCACCAGUGAACUGAAGAAUCUGCUAAAUGAGAAAAAAAAGAGCCUUCAUGGAGGGAGACGGGGAAUUAUUGAGGAGUAUACAGAAGCAACUGAAGAUCAAGAUCAGAGACAGCAAGGAGGCAUACAGGAAGAAGCCGGAGAACAAACUACAGAGGAACAAUAUCAGAGAUGUCUGGUCCGGGAUGAAGAAGAUCACAGGCUUCAAGCAGAGGAAGGAUUGCACAGAUGGCAGCCUGGACACAGCCAAUGA
Molecule: long non-coding RNA, 1047 nt
Filed under: Nothobranchius furzeri (turquoise killifish)
Lineage: Eukaryota; Metazoa; Chordata; Actinopteri; Cyprinodontiformes; Nothobranchiidae
Description: lncRNA (ENSNFUG00015024357.1)
Source: RNAcentral